AACGAACGCUGGCGGCAUGCCUAACACAUGCAAGUCGAACGAACCCUUCGGGGUUAGUGGCGCACGGGUGCGUAACACGUGGGAAUCUGCCCUUUGCUUCAGAAUAACAGUUAGAAUGACUGCUAAUACCGGAUAAUGUCGUAAGACCAAAGAUUUAUCGGCAAAGGAUGAGCCCGCGUAGGAUUAGCUUGUUGGUGGGGUAAUGGCCCACCAAGGCGACGAUCCUUAGCUGGUCUGAGAGGAUGAUCAGCCACACUGGGACUGAGACACGGCCCAGACUCCUACGGGAGGCAGCAGUGGGGAAUAUUGGACAAUGGGCGAAAGCCUGAUCCAGCAAUGCCGCGUGAGUGAUGAAGGCCUUAGGGUUGUAAAGCUCUUUUACCAGGGAUGAUAAUGACAGUACCUGGAGAAUAAGCUCCGGCUAACUCCGUGCCAGCCGCCGCCGUAA
RNAcentral lists this ribosomal RNA (448 nucleotides) under uncultured bacterium. RNAcentral's name for it is "partial 16S ribosomal RNA". It matches the Rfam family "Bacterial small subunit ribosomal RNA", at positions 29 to 523 of the family's 1533-position model. The record is from RNAcentral.